Molecule: ribosomal RNA, 484 nt
Filed under: uncultured bacterium
Lineage: Bacteria
Description: partial 16S ribosomal RNA
Rfam family: Bacterial small subunit ribosomal RNA
Source: RNAcentral
AUUGAACGCUGGCGGCAUGCUUUACACAUGCAAGUCGAACGGCAGCGCGGGCUUCGGCCUGGCGGCGAGUGGCGAACGGGUGAGUAAUGCAUCGGAACGUGCCCAGUAAUGGGGGAUAGCCCGGCGAAAGCCGGAUUAAUACCGCAUACGACCUGAGGGUGAAAGCGGGGGACCGAAAGGCCUCGCGCUAUUGGAGCGGCCGAUGUCGGAUUAGCUAGUUGGUGGGGUAAAGGCUUACCAAGGCGACGAUCCGUAGCUGGUCUGAGAGGACGACCAGCCACACUGGGACUGAGACACGGCCCAGACUCCUACGGGAGGCAGCAGUGGGGAAUUUUGGACAAUGGGGGCAACCCUGAUCCAGCCAUGCCGCGUGCGGGAAGAAGGCCUUCGGGUUGUAAACCGCUUUUGUUCGGGAAGAAAUCCUCUGGGCUAAUACCCCGGGGGGAUGACGGUACCGGAAGAAUAAGCACCGGCUAACUACGUG